RNAcentral lists this ribosomal RNA (492 nucleotides) under uncultured bacterium. RNAcentral's name for it is "bacterial SSU rRNA". It matches the Rfam family "Bacterial small subunit ribosomal RNA", at positions 802 to 1298 of the family's 1533-position model. The record is from RNAcentral.
GUAAACGAUGAUUACUCGCUGUUUGCGAUAUACAGUAAGCGGCUUAGCGAAAGCGUUAAGUAAUCCACCUGGGGAGUACGCCGGCAACGGUGAAACUCAAAGGAAUUGACGGGGGCCCGCACAAGCGGAGGAACAUGUGGUUUAAUUCGAUGAUACGCGAGGAACCUUACCCGGGCUUGAAAUGUAUCUGAAUAAUUUGGAAACAGAUUAGCCAGCAAUGGCAGAUAUGUAGGUGCUGCAUGGUUGUCGUCAGCUCGUGCCGUGAGGUGUCGGCUUAAGUGCCAUAACGAGCGCAACCCUCAUCGAUAGUUACCAUCAGGUAGUGCUGGGGACUCUAUCGAGACUGCCGCCGUAAGGUGUGAGGAAGGUGGGGAUGACGCCAAAUCAGCACGGCCCUUACGUCCGGGGCGACACACGUGUUACAAUGGGUGGCACAACGGGCAGCUACCUGGUGACAGGAAGCUAAUCUCGAAAACCACUCUCAGUUCGGAU